GUGUGUUUCAGACACAACCUUGCAGGCAAAGUUAAGGCUGCCAGCAAACCAGGGUUAACAUAGAGGCUAAAGGAACUGAAGCCCGAGGCCCAUUCUCCUGGAUUAGGUCCAUUGAUUUUAAAAAAGUAUUAAUUUAUUUUACUACUCUUCACAUGUUCUGCUUUGUGCAGAGGGAAUGAAAUACUUGGAUUUUGCCAAGGCAUUCGAUACAAUUAAUCACAAAAGGUUAGUGUUCAAACUAAAAGAAAUUGGUCUAGAUGAAAGUUCAUGUCGUUAGGUAAAACAUUGGCUUAAAGAUAGAGUACAGAGAGUUGCCAUUAAUGGUAAAUUUUCAAGCAGCAUAAACGUUGUAAGGGGUGUCACUCAGGGUUCUGUUUUGGGACCAUUUCUAUGUAAUAUAUGUAUAAAUGAUCUUGAAAUAGGCAUUGAAAGCCAUGUUUCAAUAUUCGCAGGUGACACAAAACUCUAUAAUGUAACACAUUGUUGAGCAGGAUAUUACCUUGCUGCAGAGGGAUUUAGAUAGAUUGGGGGACUGAAAUUUAAUGUAGAAAAUGUAAAGUUAUGUACUUCGGGGUGAAAAAUGCACAAGUAACUUACAUUGUAAAUGGUAGUCAAUUAGGGAUAACAAAAAACAAGAAGGAUUUGGGAAUUGCUAUAGACAACCAACUAGGCAACAAUAUACAAUGUAGGGAUGUGCAUGGGCAAAAGAUUUGGUUUGGCACUUUGGCAAUUCCCUAACCCUACCACUACCCCAUAACCCUAACCCUACCCCUAACCCUUACCCUAACCUUACCCCUAGCCCUACCGCGUACUCUUACCCCUCACCCUACGCCUACCUCUACCCCUAACACUAACCUUUUGGGCAGUGCUAAUGAUGUGAUUCAUAUCACUGGACUAACUAUUUUUACCAUGCUCACCAACGUGUGUGUGAAUUAGGGAGCAAUCUAAUAAAUAGCUGAACGAGCAACAUUAAUAAAAGGGCUUUUCUUAAUUUGGCUGCUACUUUUUUUUUUAACAGAGAGCACUAGGUCAUUUUCGUUUUGUUUUCACAGACUCCGUUUGAUGCCAUUGGAGUUGGUAUUGUUUUUGUGACUUUAUCAUGUUUACAAAGUUUUUUCUCAUUGAUAUUUGGACUUACUCAUUGGACUUUUAUGAUAAAUCUUAUACUAUUUUUAUAUAUUGAGUAAUGCUUUUGGGAGAAUCUGGUUUUAUGAUGUGAGUCAUUUGUUGGGGGGUUAGCCCUGUUUAGUGUAUUUCACUUAUUCUUAUUUAUCUUUUUAGGGAAUGUUGAGUGGUCACUCUGACAACUUUGAGUCCCUGAAUUUUUCUGUAAUUUGCUAUAUUGUUUCGUGGUAUUUGAUGUGUCACUUGGAACAUCUGAAAAAAUAUUACAUAUAUAUAAAGCAGCUUGUGCAGAGUAACCUGCUUUUUUUGUUGCUGAUUUCAUAUUCAUCAGCAAACCAUGAUUAUGCAUUUAAACGCUGGCUGCAAGCGAUCAGACACAUUCCCUAUCAGUGUUUUUUUGUAGGGAAGUUGAUAAGUUAUUUGUUGUGUUAUUCUUUGAAACGUUUUAGUUACAGUGUUAGGACAUGUUGAGAAAGCUUCUUGCCUGACACUGUUCUGGAGAGAAUGUGUAUCUAUAGCACAUUUACUGCUCUAUACUCUUUGGCAGAUCCUUGUUCAGCCACCUGUAGUGCCCUACACCGUUCAGCAGAACUGUGCUGAAGGUGCUACUUUAGCAGUUUUCUAUUAUUGAAUUGGCAGCUAAUGGCUGGGUUUUAUGUUGGCAAGCUCAGAGGAGAGACUGUGUUCAGAAUGUUCUUUCUGCUACUCUUAUAACAAACGUCAACCAAUCUAUCUGCUCUUUCUCACACUACUUAGAAGUUUCUUUGCAAUCUGCUUCAAAUGUCAUAAUAUACUGUUCUUUUUUGUUCUAUAGCGAUUAACUUUAAUCUUGUGAAUGAAUCACGACAUCAGACUAUUUAGGAGCAUUCAAGUUAUCCCAAUAAAUUAUUCACUUUUAAAGAGGGUGGAAAUUAGGAUGGCCAUCAUUGUUUUGGGGUGCUUAUGAAUUCAGCAUUCUGGGGGGUACAGCUUUGUGAUAUAUGAAAUUCAUGUCCCCUAGAUGUGAAAUCAUUGAAAUUUUCAGAGGCUGUAUUUUGGGAUAAUUGAUUUAUUGUCAGGAGCACAUUCAUACUGCCAGGGGGCACAUUCAUUUCCUCGCUUCAUGGAAUGCAGAAUUUAACCUGGUUUUAGAAAAAAGGGAGGCAGCUCUAGUGACCAUACAGCCCCAUUCAACUACUGAUGCUCCUAAGAGAUGCACCCUGCAGACCGGUGGUGGCUGUCAUGCAGCUGUGCAAUGCAGUGCCUGAUUUAGAGCGUCCUGAUCCUGGAGCUGCAAGAUUGGAGGCUUAAUGAGAGAACUUGAAUUUGCAUAUUAAUUGUCACAAUAGCUGUUUUGGACUGCAUGUGAUCCAAAUGGUGUUCUAAAAUGAUGAUGAAGCCGCACACUUUAAAGUUGUGCACAUGGCAGGGAAGACAACCAUCAAGCAUAGUACAGUCUGAGUACAAAGCAGUGACUGGGAAGCAAUUAAUACAUUCAAAAUACGAUUACAAUAGAAAAUGAGUAGAGCAUGAAAUAAACAUAGAAACAUAGACAUAAUAAAUAAAUAAACUGAACAUAUAUAUUGUGGCUGCUUUGGACCUGUUUCAAAUCAUGGGCUGGAGCUGCCUCUUCAGCAUUCCCUAUGUUAAUCUGGCUCCAAAUUUAGAAGCAUUUCAAUACUUGCUCUAAAAAUAUAAUACUGUAGAAAAUCAGCAACUAAUUAAGAUUUUAAAAGUUAGUUGACAACUUAGUAACUUACUUACUUAGUAACUUACUGUUAGUUUUGAUUAUUAAUUCCAGCAGCAAUGACUCAGCUGUUCAUCAUUCCGAGGUAGAUAAAAUGAGUGCCAUUAAACUGGGUAAUAGUGACAUCCCCUGGAUGCUGGACAAAAGUAACAUAUCCAAGAUGUACAUGGAAACCAGAAUAAUCUGAAUGUAUUUUUCCUGAGUAAAUACUUUGUUAUUAUAUAUCUGUAUGGCAUUAAGGUAUGGUGAUAAGAUAUCAGUGCCCGUUCUUCAGUCAAUGUGUUUAUACUUACAUUCACUACACCUACUUUAAUAAAACAAUAAUAUUUAAUGGUAUGAAGAAAGAAGGGAUUUUUUUUUCUAACUCCAAGUUGACUGUUGCUCUUUAAUACAGGUGCCAUUCCCACGGCAAAUCCACAUAGGAUAUGUAUGCAUUUAUAAUUGUAAGUAGAUGGCAAGUGAGUUCAUAGAUUUUAUUUAUUUAUUGAUUCACUUGAUGUGUCUAUACUACAGGAAUACCUAGAUAUUUAUAGAAUUAAGAUAACUAUAAUAAGGGUAACAGAUAAUGGCAGGAGCAUCAUCACAUCUGCUGUGACAAAGACCAUGUAGAUGGCAGAAUUAUGACAAGUUCUGGGCAGCAGUGUCCAGACAGACACAAUGGAAUCACAUGGGCAAUAUACAGGGGGUGCAGAAUUAUUAGGCAAGUUGUAUUUUUGAGGAUUAAUUUUAUUAUUGAACAACAACCAUGUUCUCAAUGAACCCAAAAAACUCAUUAAUAUCAAAGCUGAAUAUUUUUGGAAGUAGUUUUCAGUUUGUUUUUAGUUAUAGCUAUGUUAGGGGGAUAUCUGUGUGUGCAGGUGACUAUUACUGUGCAUAAUUAUUAGGCAACUUAACAAAAAACAAAUAUAUACCCAUUUCAAUUAUUUAUUAUUACCAGUGAAACCAAUAUAACAUCUCAACAUUCACAAAUAUACAUUUCUGUCAUUCAAAAACAAAACAAGAUGUGUCUGGAGCUCCGGGCCGCAAAGCUGAAAAAACCCUAUUUUCUGAUACCCAGACGGGACCAACAGGGCCCGACAGCUCCCCCGGGUGCCCUGAACCCAGAUGGGGAAAAAAACAAAAAAAGCGAGACAAGAAGCGCCCCGAACGGGCAUGAACAUAGGAGAGAUGUGGCGGCAGGCUCGUGGCGCACAGGGGCCUGGGUUGGCGGCCAUUGCUGGGGAGUGCUCAGACCUCUCGGACGACUUCUCUUGUGGAACCGAUGAGGGCUACACACCUGCUACGGCGCUUCCCCCGCCGCGGAUCCCGACAGCACAGCCGGACCCCGCUCCUGUGACGGCCGCACUCUUGAAAGAACUGCUGGCGGAUUUACAAAAGAACCUCCAGGCAGACAUGGCCACAAUACGCCAAGACUUGAAAGGCCUGACUGGCAGGAUAGGAGCCUUAGAAACCACCUCACUCUCAGCCAAACAGCAGAUCACCACCCUCCAGCAGGAGGUCAGAGACCUGCGAACACUAAACGGCUCCUAUGAAAGGCGCUUUGCAGCCCUUGAAGACUCCCGCCGUCGGAAUAACAUAAAGGUCAGGGGGGUCCCCGACAACGUACCGAAGCGGAGCUCCCGCACGUGGUAAGGAGACUACUUGCGGCCCUGCUCACACCCAAACUGUCCAAAGCAUUAGAGAUAGAGGGCAUAUUCAGGGUGCCCAAACCUGCCCAGGCACCAACCUCUGCCACGAGGGACUUGAUCGUACAAUUCGUUAAAGGGAGAGACAAAGCAACCCUCUUAAAUGCACUACGCGGCAACUCACCUUACUCCUUCGAAGGCAUGGACCUAACCUUUUAUGCGGAUUUGAGCAGCAGCACCUUGGCAUGGCGUCGGGAGCUGCGACCGCUUACUAUCCUCCUACAGAAGCAUAACCUUAACUACAGAUGGCGACCCUCACGUGCCCUGUCAGUCGCCCAUGGGACUACAACUCACAUCAUCCGAGACCUCCAAGAAGCCAAAACGCUCCUGCAGAAACUGGGCAUUCCCCAACACCUCCUACCCACCGAAGCACCUGAGGCAGCACAGCGACCAACCCACGGCUGGAAUCCGGAAACUACAGCGGAAUUUGUACCCAGACAGGCCGCCCAGGGCUUACAGAACAAUACCAAGACCUGACUUUAUGAGAGACAGCCUAUCAUAGGCCCAGUACUGGACCCACACACUCUGGCAGCCCGAUCCACACAAGGCCCUUAAACCCACAUACCCACUCACAAGCUGAGCAUAUACCGCUUAUUAACCUCCCUUAGAUUGGUGGAAGGUACCCGCCACGGUUCCCCCCCCUCAGGAAUAUAAUUUAUUUAUUUUUCUCCUCCUCGUUCACACUAUAUACAUAUAUAUAGUCUCCCCCGUAGGUAUGCAACACCGCUCCUACUACCGGCAACUCCGAUCCAGCACAACACCUUGCACAACAGCAUCCACACAGGGGAAUUGCUCGCAGUGCACUCUCACUUUUCUUUACUCUCUCCAUUCUAUAUGUGCAAUUAGUGACAGUGACCUAGCAGGGUUACCGGGCCCGGUGGCUUUCUCAGCUACGAGUCACCACUUUUUAUCUUCAUGGGAUUUAUGGGCCCUAUCCCAAGCAGAUUACUCUAGCAUGUUCACAUAACUUACACUAUGUAAGCAGUUUAUUUGGGUACUUACAGUUUAGCCUGAAACAGUUAGCUAUGAGAUAGAAUCAGCUAUUAGACCACAUACUAUUACUUACCUAACCUAUGCCUACCUAUAAAAAUUGUACAUAAUCUUGCAGCCAUAACACUUUUUGACAUGGCAUUCGCUUUUUGUAUUUGUCAUAUUGCCUGUGACCUUUCAUAUUUACUCUUGUGCCCUAUAUCAAUGAAGGCAUAUUGUGGUUCAUUUCUUUAAUAAUACCAGUCUACUUAGCUUGCCUAAGCUACCCUCUGCGGGACUUCCUAGUCCAUGAAUAUAGUAGCGUAAGCUUGAACAACUAACCUGCAAUGUUCUUUAAUAUUAUUAUUGCCUAUCUUACGCUAAUACAGAUUCUACUGUUUAACAAUAAUUAACCUAGAUAUAACUCGUUGUUAAGUGUUUAAAAAAUUUUUUUUUAAAAUGUGCAAAGUUUUUUCCACUGCCUAAUUAAUGUAAACCUUUGUUUAACUCUGCAUACCCUGGCUAUUGUGGCACGGUACGCUUUAUGUGAAAUUCCAUGCACAAAUAAAAUAAAGAAUUCAAAAACAAAACAAAAACAAAUCAGUGACCAAUAUAGCCACCUUUCUUUGCAAGGACACUCAAAAGCCUGCCAUCCAUGGAUUCUGUCAGUGUUUUGAUCUGUUCACCAUCAACAUUGCGUGCAGCAGCAACCACAGCCUCCCAGACACUGUUCAGAGAGGUGUACUGUUUUCCCUCCUUGUAAAUCUCACAUUUGAUGAUGGACCACAGGUUCUCAAUGGGGUUCAGAUCAGGUGAACAAGGAGGCCAUGUCAUUAGAUUUUCUUCUUUUAUACCCUUUCUUGCCAGCCACGCUGUGGAGUACUUGGACGCGUGUGAUGGAGCAUUGUCCUGCAUGAAAAUCAUGUUUUUCUUGAAGGAUGCAGACUUCUUCCUGUACCACUGCUUGAAGAAGGUGUCUUCCAGGAACUGGCAGUAGGACUGGGAGUUGAGCUUGACUCCAUCCUCAACCCGAAAAGGCCCCACAAGCUCAUCUUUGAUGAUACCAGCCCAAACCAGUACUCCACCUCCACCUUGCUGGCGUCUGAGUCGGACUGGAGCUCUCUGCCCUUUACCAAUCCAGCCAUGGGCCCAUCCAUCUGGCCCAUCAAGACUCACUCUCAUUUCAUCAGUCCAUAAAACCUUAGAAAAAUCAGUCUUGAGAUAUUUCUUGGCCCAGUCUUGACAUUUCAGCUUGUGUGUCUUGUUCAGUGGUGGUCGUCUUUCAGCCUUUCUUACCUUGGCCAUGUCUCUGAGUAUUGCACACCUUGUGCUUUUGGGCACUCCAGUGAUGUUGCAGCUCUGAAAUAUGGCCAAACUGGUGGCAAGUGGCAUCGUGGCAGCUGCACGCUUGACUUUUCUCAGUUCAUGGGCAGUUAUUUUGCGCCUUGGUUUUUCCACACGCUUCUUGCGACCCUGUUGACUAUUUUGAAUGAAACGCUUGAUUGUUCGAUGAUCACGCUUCAGAAGCUUUGCAAUUUUAAGAGUGCUGCAUCCCUCUGCAAGAUAUCUCACUAUUUUUGACUUUUCUGAGCCUGUCAAGUCCUUCUUUUGACCCAUUUUGCCAAAGGAAAGGAAGUUGCCUAAUAAUUAUGCACACCUGAUAUAGGGUGUUGAUGUCAUUAGACCACACCCCUUCUCAUUACAGAGAUGCACAUCACCUAAUAUGCUUAAUUGGUAGUAGGCUUUCGAGCCUAUACAGCUUGGAGUAAGACAACAUGCAUAAAGAGGAUGAUGUGGUCAAAAUACUAAUUUGCCUAAUAAUUCUGCACUCCCUGUAAGUGUAUAAGAGUGACUACAUCAUGCCAUAAAAUAAGUGUGACCUAAGUGUGAACCCAGUUGCUAAAGGAGAAGGUAAAGCCAAAGAAGCUCUAGAUGAAAUUUAAGUGAGUAAAUAAAUCAUGACCUUGCCCAAGGGUAUAGGUUGAAGGUCACACAGGUCUCCAGCUUUUUAAAAAUGCUUAGCUAUUCUUUGACCUAUAUUAGGAAUAUAUUCUAUUUUCUUGUAGUAUGCUCUACUGGAUGACAAUAUUACUGACAUUAGACAAAUGAAAAUGGCUGAUAGUUGCCCGGUAGAUAAAGGUGAGAUGUUUGGUAGUUUUAUAUUUUUGAUUAAUUGAUGAAUAUACACUUCAAAAACACUCCAAUGUUGAUACAUUAGGAAUCCCCUUCCCCCUCCCACACAAGGAAGAAUGACUUGGGACAAGCCUGUCAGGGCUAUCUAGAAGAGACACAUCUUACAUGGGCACCAAUUGGUUAGACCUCUCCAAUCCUGAAGGUGGAAGAUUGGAAGUUGAAGUGGAGUGUAGAUCCUUCCCUUUCACAUGCUGACAUUAAGUCAUGUCCCAUUUAUGGCUUUUAUCUGGCACUUGAUGCAGUAUAAAUAUGCCCUUGGACUUUUUCUUAUAUCUUUACCCAGUUGAGCUGGAUGCUUCUCUCUCAGGGAUGUCUCAACCUGGUAACUUAGCAUUAUUAUUGCCUACAUAUUAAAUGUCACUGGGACUGAUGAGUGAAUUUUAUGACCAUAACUCACCUUUACCAUGACUUUGAGUUCUAUUUAUGAAUAAUUAUGGCUAUAGUUAAUUUAUAUAUAAUUUUUAUGGUUCGUUUUAUGAGUUCCACUAAUGUAGUUUUGCUAGAGGUUCUGGUGCUUAGAGUGUCCUUUUCAUAUAGGUCAGAUAGGAGACGAUUGCAAGGGUUAUUAGUUAAAACUUUAUUUGUUGUAUUAGACAUAACACAUUUACUGAAAAUAAAGAAUAAAGGGCAGUCUGCCACAAACAGGAUACUUUGUGAGAAAAAACAGGGUUUAGGCGAUAUGCCACAAACAAGAUCUUUAGAAGGUAAAUGAAUAAAGUCUUUUGUAUACAAGCAGGCUUGAAGUUAUACCAAGUAGUUAAAGAUUUCCAGAAUAUUUUGUAAUGCAACUAGUUAUAGGUAAAUACCUUUUAGGAUAAGACCAUACAGGAUCAUGCAGAGUUGCAGAGGUUGAAAAAGGUAGGUAUAUUCCAAAAUAAUAUAAUGCAGGUUGCUUACGAGAUCAUGCAGUGAUGCAGCAAUUGAAGCAGUUAAGAUUCUUCAAUGAAGGCAAUACGUCACAAAUCAGGAUUCUUGGAAGCUUAUAAGGAAAAUCUUUCAGGCAAGUUCAGGAUGAAGUAAUGCAGGUUAGUGCCUUUCAGUAUGAGGAAAUGCAGACGAGUACAGGAUGAGGCACGGCAGGUAAGUUCUCUACAUAAUGAAAUAAUGUAGAUAAAAUACAGGAUAUUACCAGGAACAGAGAUUCUUUAUCAGAGCAUAGACUUCAUUGUCAAACCACUGUUGUGUGCCGGGAGUAGACUUAUCAAGCCUCCUAAUUAGUUAAUCCAGGUGAGGUUAUUAAGGUGAGUGAAUAGAUUAGUGACUAGGGAGGCCACUAGAGGAGAAAAUCAUGAAGUUCACUUAAAGGGCCAGUAAUAAACGAAAAAGUUUUACAUGUCAGUUUGGAAACCUGACAGUCCUUUUACACAUGACUUGGUGAGGGCAGAUAAAACCGGAAAACCUUUAUAGACUUUAAAUUGUGUUACUUGUAGUACAGAUUUUGUCUUCAUCUUUUGUCUGUUCUGGUGGUGAGAUCUGGUUGCCUUUAACCCUUAAACUUCCACAUAAGGUUUCCAGAUCCAGCAUUUUUUCCAGGUCAUAUAUUGUUUUUUCAGGUUUAGAAGCAGCACAUGAAAAUUACUGACCACCAUUAUGACUAAUGACACAAUUUCUGCGUUCCAUGUGCUGUCAAUCAAUAUCUAUGUGCUAAGUGUUCAGGUACAGAUGGUGGAUCUGACAAUUCUAUUUCCACUACUUUAUCAAAGGCUAGCCUAUUACAACACCCACUUACAUCUGCUCUAUUACCCUGUAAGGUACAGACUGAACUUAUUCCGAAAACAUUUUGUAGCUUCUGGACCAUUGAUUUUUUUCUAGCUAUUCCUGAAUUUGUUAAAAUCUUCUGCAGGUGAAUGUGAUGUGAGUUGCAGCUCGCAGCAGCUUUGGUGAUGCUUGUUAUUUAUUGAUGGACAUCCAUUUAGCUGGACUUCAAAGAACAUGUGACUUCACGGCAUAUGUAAACAGUUAUGAUUUGGGGAAAACAAACAUGAAGUUCUGUUCCUGACAUCUGGACAAUUUUGAAAGAAUCAUAACAAUGCACUACAAAAAAAGUUUAUUCUUGAAAGAGCGAAUUAAAGUGGAUUUAGGCUAAAUAAUCAAACAUACGAAUGUUGCUAAGCUGAACCAAAUGGAAUACUUUACUAUAGUGAAUAGAAUUCCCUCGUACAUAUGUAUAUCCUUAACAAAUAGCGGGUUCUUCAUUUACACCCUGUCUAUCUUUGGCUCCUCUAGGUUCUCAGAUGUAGGCAGUAGUGCCAAACUUACUUCUCUCUUAUUCCUAUUUUAACAGAGCUUCCGGGUGAUUCUAAUUAAUAUGUAAUGUAGUAACACUGUGUAGCAUAUAGCAAUGCAUUUAAUAGCUGACAAAUCCAUGUCUCUGACAACUGAAUUUCAACACUGGCAUGCAUUUUGCUAUCGUGUGUGCCAGCAUCCCAGCACUUCCACCUUAUGUGGCUAACUAGAACCACAUUUAUUGGGAAAUUUUAAAUGCAGUUAAAGAGACCUUUAUAGUCUUCAAAUGGUGAUAUUUUCAGUACAACAUAGUUUGUCUUUAUAAUUUUAUUCUCAGCAAUGUCUUCAGACCAGUUUUACCAUCCUGACUCUCUCCCCUUUCUUUUUCUCCCCUUUUCACCUCAUCACCCUCCUCUCCCUGUCCAUCUUUAAUUUCUCUCUAUUUUACGGGUUAUUCCUGAAUUCUUACCAUGGCCAGGACAUUGCCUAUUUGCACAUCGACUCAUUUUGCAUGUUACUUUGUCUCAUUUUAUUUAGCAGAUUAUCUUGUUUUUUUCACUUUACUGGACUAAAAAAGUUCUAAUUUGGUUAUAGUUCAGCACAUUGUUUUGGCUUCUCCACCAUGUAAACAUUGUACUGUACAAUUAAAUCAAGAAUAAACAUCUCGCUGCACGCAUUAUGGAUGGUGGGACUGAAUAUAAGAACUUGCUUGUGGCAUGCUUGAAACAGCAAACAUUAAUUGUAACUUGUCAAAUCCUUCAAAUAAAAAUGUAAUGCCGUGUACAGACAGAGUGAAAAGUAAACACUGAAUACAUGGUUAGACUUGUUAUCUGGAAGACACAAGAGAGAAUAAUGAACUUGUCACGUAUUUGAGCAAAUACUACUAGGUUAUACUUGAUUAACAUAUUCUUUACAUCUUCAUUUUACAUAGUUACAUAGCUGAAAAGAGACUUGUGUCCAUCAAGUUCAGCCUUCCUCGCAUUUGUUUUUUGCAGUUGAUCCAAAAGAAGGCAUAAAAACAGUUGGAAGCACUUCCAGUUUUGCAACAAACUAGGAUUCCUUCUUGACCCCAGAAUGGCAGUCAGAUUAAUCCCUGGAUCAAGAAGCUAUUACCCUACAUUGAAAAAUGAUAUCCUUUAAUAUUCUGUUUUUUGCAAGUAUGCAUCUAGUUGCUGUUUGAACAUCGUUAUGGACUCUGAUAAAACCACUUUCCCAGGCAGAGAAUUCCACAUCCUUAUUGUUCUUACAGUAAAAAAAAACCUUUCUUUGCCUUAGACAAAAUCUUUUUUCUUCCAGUCUAAACGCAUAACCUCAUGUCCUAUGUAAAGUCCGGUUUAUGAAUAGAUUUCCACACAGUGGUUUGUAUUGGCCCCGAAUAUAUUUGUAUAAUACUAUCAUAUCCCCUCUGAUGUGAUGUUUUUCUAAACUAGAGAGGUUUUAAGGUGGUUCUGUCGCCUCUGGUCAUUUUUUUGUGUAUUUUUUUAAAUAAAAGAUCUUUUCAUGUUGAUCAGUAUUUCAUUGAAAUUCCAAUGCAAUCAAAAGAUAUCUUAGGACACGGAUAUACGUUACUAAGAAGGUUGGAGCCUUGGCAUAGAAUGACAUAGUUCUUGGGGGAGUCCCUUGCCCCAGAGUAUGCAAACUGCUGACUUGAUAAUUAGAUCCUAAACUGGGUAGCCUCUGCUUGGAACUAACCAACUGCCCUCAAUGUCCACCUUCUCUGCAUACAAUUUAAACCACCACUAAUCCAGCUGGUACACAGACCUCCUGUCAGGACAUAAAAAUGUGCAAUAUUGCUCUAGGGCCUUGCGUGCCCAUUGGAAACUGUUAACAUGUAUGUAUAUGAUACUGGGGCUUGCUGGGCCCAUGUGAUGUUGUUAUUACGCUGUGAAAAAAAAAUAAAGAAUAAAAAAAAAAAAAAGAUAUUUUAGGAUAAAGUAGGGACUUCUUGAGGUUACUGUGUACUGGAUCAGUGAAAAACAGCCUGUACCCUGCACUCUAGUGGCUGUGAUCAUACAAUCCUAUUGCUACCCAGUAGAUUAUCCAGUAAAGGGGGACAUGGCGCAUCCCAUACCCCCAUGGUGGGGCCCUAAAUAAAAUGAAUUAACUAAGGGGGUAAUGUCCCCCUCAAGUCACCACCCUUGAAUUACCUGUGAAACUCCAGAUUUACCUGUCGGAGCACUCUGAUGUGUUGGCUCAUUAUAAUGCUCUUUAUAAGGCUUUCCCUGCCCUGCAAGUUCAGUCUGCGUGUAAACCUAGUGGGAUGAGAUGGAUUGUUAUUUCAUCCAGAAAAUUUUUAUUUUUUUAUUUUUUUAUUUAAUAUCUGCAAAGGGACCCUUUGGAUUUUUAUUUGUUCUUUUUUUAUUUGUUCUUUUUUGUUGCAGAAAAGAAGAUGGAAGAAAUAAAAUAUUUAAUGGUAAGUAUGAAAUAUUUAUUUUAUUGGUAUUUUGUUUAUUAUGGGUUGUUAAUCGACUUUUGGCCACUUAACUGGCGCUGGACGUCCUCACGCUAUGAAUGAAGACAUCCAACAUCACCAAAAAGCCCAUAGGAAAGUAUUAAACAGUGCUUUUCUAUGGGGCUGUCCAAAUGUGUACGCGGCACUGAGCACUAUAGGGUGCUAUAGGCUAUAGGGUUAGGAUUAAAAUGCUGUAUUCCUAACCUAUAGUUUACCUUUAAAAGGUACUGUUCUGGAUUACAAAUUAAACGUUAUCUGUUAGACUUGUAAGACUUCCCUUUUCUUUUCUCUGCUACAUAUACUUUUGGAAACAGGAUAUUCAUGUGAAAGGAUAGGAGUAAUUAAUAAUUUAUUAGGAUGUUACUCACUACCAGGUUUUUACUAUUUCCUUUUUAUAUAAAUUAAAAUAAAGGUAUAGUUUUAAAUAAACAGGUAAAGUAAAACAAAAUCCCCCUUCACUCCUCUCUUUCUCAACUGCAAUUGAACUGUACCUUUCAUACCCUUAAGGCCUUCUCCCCAGCUACUGAACAGGAGGUGGCUGCACUUCUUCUUUCCUCUCAUUCCACCAACUUACCAUAUAUCUCUUCCAUUGUUUUGUGCUGCACACAUCUUCAACUGCUCUCUUUCUUUUGGCAUUGUUCUUGUAAUAUUUAUUUUGUAAUAUUUCUUUAAUUGGAACUCAACUGCAGCAUUUCUUGGUUGCAACAACAAUAAGGUUCACCUCCUUUUAUAUUGGUAUGAAACUAUGGUCACUGUACCUUUAAAUAUUCAUGUAGGUAAAAUUAGGCUUUGUAACAAUCCCUUAUGAGUAAGAGGAAUAAUUAGACAAAGUGACACUUUAGUGAGUUUUAGAUACUGUGUAAUAUAAAUAAUAGUAAUUGACUUGUUUGGUAAAAGUAUUACUUAACUUAAAGGCAGUUCUGGCACUGGAAGGGUUAAUUCACCCAAUGAAGGAGAAAUUAGAAGUCCGUUUCAACAAGCUGAGAACUAGGAGUGGAGAGUGGGGAAGUCCGUUUUAACAAGCCGAGGUCUGGGAGUGGAGAAGGUAGAAUUCAGAGUUACAAGCCGAGGUCUAGGAGUGGAGAAGGUAGAAAUCCGUUUACAAGCCGAGGUCGAGAAGUGGAGAAGGUAGAAAUCCGUUUACUAGCCGAGGUAUAGAAGUGGAGCAGGUAGGAUCAGAAGUAGAGCAGCUGAUCUUCAUGCAGCACCUGUGCGAAUAAUCCAGCCCUUUGAAUCUGGCGCGGUCCUCCUAAGUAUCGUGGAGGGACCGCGUCAGAGAAAGGGGCGGGGCUGAGCGCCGUGAACCCGGAAGUGGGUUCCGGCGAUAAAUUACAUGCCAUGCUAUACCUGACAGUACCCCCUUCCCAUGGGGCAUCCUCUGGGUGCACUAUUUCGGUUUGGAGGGAUAGCGUUUGUGAAAGGCAGUAACUAACCUCCUAGCAUGUACAUUAGAUGAAUCUUCCCAAGUGUCUUCAUCAACUCCAUAACCUUUCCAUCUGAUAAGGUAUUGUAAAGAGCCACGGUGGACACGAGAAUCCAAAAUUUUGUGAAUUUCAUAUUCUUCUUCACCUUGGACAAUGAUAGGUUCAGGAGUUGUUACUAUUUCUCUAUAAAAAGGAUCAGGGAUGUGUGGUUUAAGUAAGGAGACAUGGAAUACUGGAUGAAGUUUAAAACUUGGAGGAAGUUUUAGUUUAACAACGUUAUCAUUAAUGAUAGUAAUUACUUGAAAGGGACCAAGAAAAAGAGAGCUCAAUUUCUUUGAAGGACGGCUUGUGGUAAUAUUCCUUGAAGAGAGCCAGACAAGAUCCCCUACCUUGUAAGGAGGGGGAAUUCUUCUAUUAUUGUCAAAAAACUUUUUCUGGUUAUUUUGGGCGAGUUGAAGAUUCUCCCGUAAUUUGAGAAAUAGAGAAGACAUAAAUUCGUUUUUUGAUGUAACAGUAGGAUUGGAUGAAGUAAUGGUUUGGAUGGGGAAUGAAGACGGAUGAAAACCAUAGUUGGAGAAGAAAGGAGUCAUUUUCGUACUAGAAUGAAUGGUAUUAUUGUAAGAAAAUUCGGCCAUAGGUAACCAUGUGGUCCAGUCAUCUUGGAGGUAUGAACAAUAACAUCGAAGAUAUUGUUCCAAACAUUGAUUAACCCUUUCUGUUUGCCCAUUAGUUUGGGGAUGAUAAGCGGAAGAGAGUUUGCGUUGAAUUUGAAGGGAGAGACACAUCUCUUUCCAGAAUUUGGAGGUAAAUUGUGUCCCCCUAUCAGAAAUAAUUUCUUCAGGAAGACCAUGAAGUUUCACAAUAUUGUCAAUAAAGACCUUAGACAAUUCUACAGAGGAGGGUAAUUUUUUUAAAGAAAUGAAAUGGGACAUUUUUGUGAAGCGAUCCACAACGACAAGAAUAGUGGUGAAAUGUUGAGAAGGUGGAAGAUCAACGAUAAAAUCCAUAGAAAUGGAUUGCCAAGGUUUUUCUGGAAUAGGUAAGUUAAGUAGUAAUCCAAAAGGUUGAUUAUGUUCUGGUUUAGACCUUUGACAGAUAGGACAUGUUUUGACAUAUAAUGCAAUGGUUCUAUCCUGGCGAGGCCACCAAUAAUAUCGUGAAGUUAGUUCAAGUGUUUUCUUUAUUCCAGGAUGUCCAGCUAGGGGGGAAUCAUGAACCAUCUUAAGUAAUUUAUUCCUAAGAAUGGGAGGAAUAUAAAUUCUAUUUUUAAAAUAAAAUAGACCAUCCUUUUUUGUUAGUAUAGGUGUUUUGGGAAGUUCAAGAUCCUUCUGAUUCAAAUUCUUUAUGUCAUCAUGAAGAGAAGAGAGGAUUCCUAUUAUUUUGGUAGAAGGAUAAUCAUCAGUAGUAGUUUUAGAAGGAAUUCGAGAAAGAGCGUCAGCCUUUUUAUUUCUAUUUCCAGGUCUGUAUAUUAAUUGGAAGUUAAAUCGGUUAAAAAAUAGGUUCCAUCUAACUUGUCUAGCUGUAAGGGUUUUGUUAGUAUAGAGAUAUUCAAGAUUUUUAUGGUCAGUAUAAACUAUUAUAGGUUGUUUUGUAUCUUCCAGAAGAUGACGCCAAUUUUCGAAGGCAGCUUUAACACUUAAUAAUUCUUUUUCACCAAUAGGAUAAUUUUUUUCAGCAGAGCUCAAGGAUCUUGAAAAAAAGGCAACUGGAUGAAGUGGAUCUUGUGGAGUCUUUUGUUGAGAAAGAACUGCUCCGAUGGCUGCAUCUGAUGCAUCAACUUCAAGAACAUAUAGGAAUGUUGGAUUAGGUAGUUGUAGAAUAGGUGCAGUUGUAAAUCUUUUUUUUAAUUCGUCGAAGGCUGUUUGAGCAUCUUUAUUCCAAUUAAAAGGACGUUUACUACUGUUGAGGAGGUUAAGAGGAUGUGAUACAUCCGAAUAGUUUCUAAUAAAUUUUCUAUAGAAGUUUGCAAAUCCAAGAAAACGUUGUAAUUCUUUUGUAGUAGUAGGAGCAGGCCAAUCAAUAAUACAUUUGAUUUUGGAAUUAUCCAUCUUCAAAGAAUGAGGUGAAAUAAUGUAUCCUAGAAAAGAGAAUUCAGUAACCUCAAAAAGGCAUUUUUCUGGUUUAGCGUAUAAUUUAUGAGUUCUCAGUCUAGAUAGAACCCAUCUAACAUGUUUCCUAUGUUCAUCCAAAUUGUUAGAAUAUAUUAAGAUAUCAUCUAAGUAGAUAAUAACACAUACAUCCAGAAGAUCUCUAAAGAUAUCAUUGAUAAAAUGUUGAAAUGUUGCAGGGGCAUUACAGAGCCCGAAAGGCAUCACUAGAUAUUCGUAGAGACCAUAUCUUGUCCGGAAGGCGGUUUUCCAUUCAUCAUCCUGUUUUAUUCUAAUGAGGUUAUAUGCGCCUCGAAGGUCGAGUUUAGUGAAUAUAGUUGCAGUUCUUAACCUUUCAAUUAAUUCAUUUAUUAGUGGAAGAGGAUAACGAUUUUUAAUAGUUAUUUUAUUUAAGGCUCUGUAAUCUAUAAUAGGACGGAUGGUUUGGUCUUUAUUCUUCACAAAGAAAAUACUAGAAGCAGCAGGAGAGGUCGAGGGUCUGAUGAACCCUUUGCGUAAAUUUUCAUUAAGAUAUUCUUUUAAAAUUUCUAAUUCCUUUUCAGAGAGUGGAUAAAUAUGACCGUAAGGAAUAGGAGCUCCGGGUAUGAGAUCUAUUGGGCAAUCAUAUAGCCGAUGAGGAGGAAGUGUUUCCGCUUCUUUUUUACAAAAGACAUCUGCAAAGUCGGAGUAGAAUGGAGGUAUAACUGGUUCUACAGUAGUUUGGAGAAUAGGAAUGUGUUGUAAGCACGUUUUUUUACAGAAAUCAGAAGCAAAGGAGAUGGAGAAGGGAGACCACUUAAUUAAAGGAUCAUGGUUUUUUAACCAAUUAAUUCCUAGAAUGACGGGAUAAAGUGGAGAUUUAAUAAUAUCAAAUGUAAUGAAUUCGAAAUGUACGUUGUUGGUAAUCAUUCUUAGAGGGAUUGUUUCAUCUUUGAUGGGUCCUGAGGAUAUAAAUGAACCGUCAAUAACUCUGAUUGGAAUAAAAUUGGUUUUUUGAACACAAGGAAUUUUAUUUUUUGAAACAAAAGAAAAAUCAAGAAAAGUUCCAUUAGCACCAGAAUCAAUGAUGGCCUCAGUCACGAUUCUUUUUGUAUCCCACUGUAAUAUGAGAGAUAUAGAAAAAUAAGUAGAUGCUUUUCUUUUUUGAAAAACGUUCAAUAUAGAGGUAGAUGAAUGAAGCUUACCACCUUUUGAAUGUUUCAGUAGAGGACAUUCGGAAAUUAGAUGUUCAUUCGAAGCACAAUACAUACAUAAGUUUAGUUGUCUCCUUCUUAUUCUUUCUUCAGAAGUAAGAGGACUUUUUAUUAUACCUACUUCCAUAGGUUCAGUUUGUGGAGGAAUUUUUUCAGGUAGUUUUAGAGUAGUGAAAGGUUUUCUCCAGGUAGAAUUAGUAAGAACCCUUUCAGCUUUUCUUUCUCUUAGACGUCUAUCAAUACUGAUAGACAGUUGAAUCAAUGCAUUUAAGGUAGGAGGAAGUUCUGUACGAGAGAGUUCAUCUUUCACAGCUUCAGAUAAUCCGAGACGGAAUUGAUUGCGUAAAGUAAUGUCAUUCCAUUGGGUUUCUGUAGCCCAUCUUUUGAAUUCUGCAAUAUAAUCUUCAACAGGUCUAUUCUUUUGGUGUAAUGUUCUGAUGGUUAAAUCAGCAGUAGUUUGUUUAAAAGGAUCUUCAUAUAAUAAAGACAUAGCUUCAAAGAACUCAUCCAAUGAAUCCAAUAUGGGAUCAUCAUUUUCCAAAAAGGAAUGGGCCCAGGCCAUAGGUUCACCUCUUAAAAAAGAGAUCACUGAACAGACUUUGGAUCUUUCGGUGGGAUAAGAUCUAGGUUUUAAAGCUAUUAGUAGUUUGCAAGAAUUCAAAAACUCUCUGUACUUUGUUCUAUCUCCAUAAAAUUUUUCUGGAUUACAGACAGCAGGAUCACCAGCCGAUUGAAGAGCGGCAUGAGGAAGAUGACCUUGAAUGUCUCUAACAUAGGUUAAUAUUCUCUCAUUUGUAAUUUGCAGUUCCUGUAACCCUUGAGCAAUCGUAUCCACUCUAUUGGUUAGGGCAGAAACUUGAGAGUUAAUAUCUGCUGGUUCCAUUUAAUAUUGGCUGGAUUAUUCUGUAAUAUUUAUUUUGUAAUAUUUCUUUAAUUGGAACUCAACUGCAGCAUUUCUUGGUUGCAACAACAAUAAGGUUCACCUCCUUUUAUAUUGGUAUGAAACUAUGGUCACUGUACCUUUAAAUAUCCAUGUAGGUAAAAUUAGGCUUUGUAACAAUCCCUUAUGAGUAAGAGGAAUAAUUAGACAAAGUGACACUUUAGUGAGUUUUAGAUACUGUGUAAUAUAAAUAAUAGUAAUUGACUUGUUUGGUAAAAGUAUUACUUAACUUAAAGGCAGUUCUGGCACUGGAAGGGUUAAUUCACCCAAUGAAGGAGAAAUUAGAAGUCCGUUUCAACAAGCUGAGAACUAGGAGUGGAGAGUGGGGAAGUCCGUUUUAACAAGCCGAGGUCUGGGAGUGGAGAAGGUAGAAUUCAGAGUUACAAGCCGAGGUCUAGGAGUGGAGAAGGUAGAAAUCCGUUUACAAGCCGAGGUCGAGAAGUGGAGAAGGUAGAAAUCCGUUUACUAGCCGAGGUAUAGAAGUGGAGCAGGUAGGAUCAGAAGUAGAGCAGCUGAUCUUCAUGCAGCACCUGUGCGAAUAAUCCAGCCCUUUGAAUCUGGCGCGGUCCUCCUAAGUAUCGUGGAGUGACCGCGUCAGAGAAAGGGGCGGGGCUGAGCGCCGUGAACCCGGAAGUGGGUUCCGGCGAUGAAUUACAUGCCAUGCUAUACCUGACAGUUCUAGAUCCUCUUAAACAUGCUACUGUUCUACCAGUCCUUAAAAAAGUAAUCUCUUGACCAUUCUUCCCCUUCCAAGUAUCGUCCCAUAUCCAUGCUCCCUUUUUUUCUUCAAAGUUUCUGAUAAGACUUGUAUUUGCCCAUUUGUCUUGUUUCCUCAAUUCCAACUCUCUCCUUAACCCACUCCACUGAGACUGCUCUGAUUAAAGUUACAAAUGACCUAAUCGCAGCUAAAUUCAAAGGUCACUACUCAAUACUAAUUCUUCUUGAUCUGUCUGCUGCCUUUGACACUUUUGAUCAUGUCCUCCUUCUCCAAACUUUUCAAUCUCUCGGUCUCUGUGACACUGUCCUCUCGUGGUUUUCCUCCUAUAUCUUCCAACAUUCAUUAAGUGGCUUCUUUUCCAAUUACACCUCCUCCACUCGUCCUGUCUCAGUUGGAGUCCCCCAAUCUUUGCAAGCUUGCUUUCUUGGUAUUAUCUUUGGUAUUAUUAUCGAUCCUGGCCUCACCUUUGCACUUCACGUCCAGUCUAUUGGGAAUCAUGCUGAUUCUACCUUAAAAACACUGCCCACAUCCGUUCCUUUCUUACGCAAGAUGCUGCCAAGGAGCUUCUUCAUGCUCUAGUAAUUUCUUGUAAUUGUAAUGAAUGCUGCCGCCAGGCUAAUCUUUCUCUCUUGUCUCUCCUCUCACACUUUGCCCCUCUGUCGAUCCUUACACUGGCUUCCUGUACCCUAAAGCUAUAUAAUACAUAGUGGGGGUCCUGCUAGGGAAGAUACGAAUGGCACAACAUAGUGCAAGAUUGUAUAUACACUCAAGCAAAAUAUAUUUCAGUUGGCCACUCACAAUUUACGAAUUAAGGAUGGUUCUUCAGGAUGACGUCAGGAUGGUUUGUGUCAAAAAAUUUUGAUCACAAGGGAGCAUUCAGAACAGUAUAAAUACACAGAUACCUUCCAAGAUCUCCAUCUUAGAGAUAUUGGUUAAACAGUCCAAUGCUGUAGAGCGGAAGAGAGACACAAUGCAGCAAGAAUAUAGAGAAUGCUGAAUAAAGUGCAAAAAAACAACAACCAGAUUUAUUUACUUACACAGACGUUAAUAACAGCAUACAUGUAGUGUCACCACCAGUACUAUGCGUUUCAUCCCAAAAGGGACUUUCUCAGGGAAAGUAUGGAAAGUAUUGUAGUGUGUGCAAGUCCAAUGUGAAUAUUAUAUUUAUUGAAAAAAAGGGCAUGAAAUGCAAGCAUGUUUUCAUCGAUAGUAAAUCUACCAAAUAGUGAUUUUAUGUGAGAAAGCAGAAAAAUAAUCUGCUAGACACGCAUGUAAUAGGUAAGGAAUGUGUGUGAUUUUUUUAAUAUUCUUUGGAAAUAAUGCAAUUUAGUAAAUAUGGGGUUUAUAUGCUUAGAGCUGUAUGAUUCAUCCUGCAAAGCAUGAAAUGUUUGUUAUUUAUGCUGAGAAACAAGCACAGAAAAAGUCAUGAAAUCCACUCUUAUCCUAUUAUGGCAUGCACAGACUUCAAAGUUGUUGCUAUCUCCUUAACUAACGCUGGAAUUGCAAAAUGUUAACAUUCUAUAACUUUAAAGGGGACAUUUCUAAAAUGGUUUAACUAGUUUACAUGGGAUGGCAUCAAUGUACUAAUUGUUACUUUAAUCUAACCAAACUUUUGUGCAUUUAGAAAAAAAUCACAGGUGUGGAUAAGCGCUGGAAGAACAACUGACAAAAUAUAGUCAGCAAACUCUGGAUAUAGGGUAUACCCUCAAAACCCCCCAAAAUAACAACAUAAAACACACAAAAACAGGUUGCGCCAAUGGAUACAUAUAAAGGUAAAACAAGUAAAGAAGUAUAUAUAGAAUAAAUAAUACAUAAAUGUAUAAAGUCCAAUAUUUACAGUCCAAUGAUCACAAUCCCAGCUGAUUGAUAUGUAUCAGUUCUUGAUUAACCCCUUAAGACCGCAGCCAAAUGUACAAGUUGUUAUCCAAAAAAAAGUAAACAAACCACAGAAUUUUACUAUAUGUCUGUUCAACAAUAAUUUCAUACUAAGUGCACUCACACUUAUUAUAUAUCAUUUUAUUCAGGGGAAACAGGGCUUUCAUUUAACAUCAAAUAUUUAGGUAUGGAACAUAAUUUAAUAUGAAUAAAAUAUAAAAAAAUGGGUGAAAAUAAGAUUUUAAAAAAAAUUUCUUAGUUCUAUGUGACAUUUUAACUGUGAAUGUCAAAAUACUGUUUGCUUUUACUGCAAUAAAAUAUACAUAUUUGUAUUCAGCGAUGUCUCACGUGUAAAACAGUACCCCCUAUGUACAGGUUUUAUGGUGUUUUGGGAAGUUACAGGGUCAAAUAUAGCAUGUUACAUUUUUUGUUUUUUCACAUUGAAAUUCGCCAGAUUGGUUACGUUGCCUGUGAGACUGUAUGGGAGCCCAGGAAUGAGAAUUACCCCCAUGAUGGCAUUCCAUUUGCAACAGUAGACAACCCAAGGUAUUGCAAAUCAGGUAUGUCCAGUGUUUUUUAUUAGCCACUUGGUCACAAACACUAGCCAAAGUUAAUGUUAAAAUUUGUUUGUGUGUGAAAAAUGCAAAAAACUAAUUUGAACGCCAAUUUUGGCCAGUGUUUGAAAAAUGCAAAAAACUUCACUUUCACUGACGAUAUCAUCAUUGUAAUACAUUUUACGGUUUUGAAACACAAAUAUUUGUGUUAAGCGAUGUCUCCCGAGUAAAACUACCCCCCAUGUACAGGUUUUAUGGUGUCUUGGAAAGUUAUAGGUUUAAAUAUAGUGCUAGCAAAUUAAAUUCCCUGUACUUUCGGUCUGGGUUGUCAGGCGGGUCCCGCAAAUUGUAAUUAAUAAAAGGACCUAAUUAUGUAAAAUUAUUACAUAAAUAUACAUGUAAAAUUAUAUAUAUAUAUAUAUAUAUAUGUGUGUAUAUAUAUAUAUAUAUAUAUAUAUAUAUAUAUAUAUAUAUAUAUAUAUAUAUAUAUAUGUAUAUAAUUUUUAUUUUUAUUUAUAUAUAGGUAUACAUAUAGUGAUAUAUACGUAUAUAUAUAGAUAUAUAUAUUAUUUCGUUCUACAUGUAUUUUGAUAUCAAUAUAUAUAUAUAUAUAUAUAUAUAUAUAUAUUACUAUAAAAAUACAGUUAGAACGAAAUUACACACAUAUAUAUAUUUUUUAAAUUAUUUAUGUUUUUUUUAAUGUAUUUACAUAUCUUUUAUUAUAUAUAAAUAUAUAUAUAUAAUUAUAAUUAUAUAUAUUUCAUCAAUAUCAUUCUAAGUGUAUUUUUAUAUUAAUAUAUAUAUAUAUAGUUAUAUAUAUAUAUAUAGUUAUAUAUAUAUAUAUAUAUAUAUAUUAAUAUUAAAAUACACUCAGACAGUGUAUGUGUAAAUAUAUACUUAGAUCAUAUAUAUAUAUAUAUAUAUAUAUAUAUGAUCUAAGUAUAUUUUAUUUUUAACUGUAAUUUAUUUUAUUUUGUAACAUUAAGGGGUUAAAAGGGGCAGAGACAGUGUCAGCCAGUGAUUUCACAUCAUUGGCUGACACACAGGAUCAGUGAUCACAGUGACUGGCUGUCACUGUGAUCACCUCCUGCAGAUCGCGGUAAAUGGCCAUAGGGGGAGUGCCUAGGUGGCCAGGCAUGCCCCCCACCGCGAUUUGUAGGGGGAUCCUGCCUGCAGUUACUAUGUGUCAGCCAAUAGGCUAACACAUAGUAACUCUGAUCGCAGUGAGAGGCUGUCACUGCGUUCAGAUCGCAGUGACAGGCUGUCUCUGCGAUCAAGAUGAGCAGAUCGCGGUCACUGACCACAGGGGGACUGCCUUGGGGGCCAGGCAUGUCCCCCGACUGCAAUCUGCAUCUGAAAAAAUGCUGCGGCUCCAUGUGUCAGCUGAUUUUAAAAACGACUGAUACAUGGUAAAUGCCGAUCGCAGUGACAUACUGUCACUGCAAUCGGAGGCUGCAGACCACGGUCACUGGGCACAGGGGGGCUGCCUGGAGGACCAGGCCUUCCUCGUGACCGCGAUCUGCAACGGGGUAAUGCUUACCGGCCACGUGGGAGGUAAGACCGCCAUGCAGCGUUUAGAGCCAGCCAAUUAAGGACAGCAUUGAAAGCCCUGCGGUUUUAAGGGAUUAAGGUGCUUGUCAACAUAUGUAAAAAGAUACAAAAUGAAAGAUAAUAGUGCAGACUGUUUAAGCAGGAAUAUAAAACUCUCAAUAAUGGUAAUUGGCAUUGCACUCACAUUUCGUAGAGCUUAAACUAGCUCUAAGUAAAAUUGCUUGCAGCGGUACAAUCCCAACUGAUGGAUAUAAAACUCUGAAUACCAGUGUCUCAGCGUACAGAUGAUUAUAUAAAAAACACAAAAAGAGAUACACAGUAGUGCUCACUGUAAGUACAAUUAAUAUAAAAAUAUAUGAAUGUAUUUUACUCACAUUUGAUAGAGCAGUGAAAUGCUCAAAUAUCUGCGCAUUGGUGGUAUAAUUCCCACCAGGGAUAUGGUUUGGAGUAGUUGUCCAAAAUUGAAGUUGGAAGUGCCAGGAACAAAUAAAACAGUUAAAAACUAUUAAAAAGCAUAAAAAGUGUAAUAAAUGGUCAAUAGGUCAAUAGGCAACGUUCGGCACUCCCAAUGCCGUGGACUACAUCUCCCACAAUGCUCUUACAGCCAUAAUGCUGGUAAAGCAUCAUGGGAGGUAUGGUCCAAAACAUCUGCAGUGCCAAAGUUUACCUAUACCUGGUCAUAUAAUAAAUGAAAACCAUAUAUACUUUAAUGAUAAAAGAAAUAAAACAAAUACUACACAAGUGUUUCAUCAAUAAAAGCUUUUUUCAAGUGUAAACAGAUUGACCUGGCACAUAAGGGUAUAUAUAGGUGGUAAUGGCAGUUAAAAUUAGAAUGUUGGUGCCAAAAUUAAGUCCUUUGACCUUUGACCUCAAUAAGGUCACAUGAUAUAUACAAUAUGAAGUUAAUCGAAAAAGGAAGUUGGGUGGUGCCCAUCUUUGAUAUGGGCAUACUAUGGGAAAUAAAAAGGUAGUACUAAAUGCCUUUUUAGGAAAGCUGUAAAAGAACCAAAAAGCAACACAAAAAAAAUCAUAUAUAUAUUGUAUAUGUGUGUAAACUUUAGGUUGUAUGUUUUUACCAAGAUAUAAAAUGAAUAGAGGCAAUUCAAAACAAUAAUAGUGGAUAACAUAUUAAUAAAUAUAUAUAUAUAUAUAUAUAUAUAUAUAUAUAUACACUGCUCAAAAAAAUAAAGGGAACACAAAAAUAACACAUCCUAGAUCUGAAUGAAUUAAAUAUUCUUCUGAAGUACUUUGUUAUUUACAUAGUUGAAUGUACUGACAUGCAAAAUCACACAAAAAUAAAAAAAUGGAAAUCAAAUUUUUCAACCCAUGGAGGUCUGGAUUUGGAGUCACACUCAAAAUUAAAGUGGAAAAACACAUUACAGGCUGAUCCAACUUUGAUGUAAUAUCCUUAAAACAAGUCAAAAUGAGGCUCAGUAGUGUGUGUGGCCUCCAUGUGCCUGUAUGACCUCCCUACAACGCCUGUGCAUUCUCCUGAUGAGAUGGCGGAUGGUCUCUUGAGGGAUCUCCUCCCAGACCUGGACUAAAGCAUCUGCCAACUCCUGGACAGUCUGUUGUGCAACGUGACGUUGGUGGAUGGAGCGAGACAUGAUGUCCCAGAUGUGCUUAAUUGGAUUCAGGUCUGGGGAACGGGCGGGCCAGUCCAUAGCAUCAAUGCCUUCGUCUUGCAGGAACUGCUGACACACUCCAGCCACAUGAGGUCUAGCAUUGUCUUGCAUUAGGAGGAACCCAGGGCCAACCGCACCAGCAUAUGGUCACAAGGGGUCUGAGGAUCUCAUCUCGGUACCUAAUGGCAGUCAGGCUACCUCUGGCGAGCACAUGGAGGGCGGUCCCCCAAAGAAAUGCCACCCCACAUCAUUACUGACCCACUGUCAAACCAGUCAUGCUGGAGGAUGUUGCAGGCAGCAGAACGUUCUCCACAGCGUCUCCAGAUUCUGCCACGUGUGUCACAUGUGCUCAGUGUGAACCUGGUUUCAUCUGUGAAGAGCACGGUGGCCCUCAUACCACCUUCAUGGAGUCUGUUUCUGACCGUUUGAGCAGACACAUGCACAUUUGUGGCCUACUGGAGGUCAUUUUGCAGGGCUCUGGCAGUGCUCCUCCUGUUCCUUCUUUCACAAAAGCGGAGGUAGCGGUCCUGCUGCUGGGCUGUUGCCCUCCUACAGCCUCCUCCACGUCUCCUGAUGCACUGGCCUGUCUCCUGGUAGCGCCUCCAUGCUCUGGACACUACGCUGACAGACACAGCAAACCUUCUUGCCACAGUUCGCAUUGAUGUGCCAUCCUGGAUGAGCUGCACUACCUGAGCCACUUGUGUGGGUUGUAGACUCCAUCUCAUGCUACCACUAGAGUGAAAGCACCGCCAGAAUUCAAAAGUGACCAAAACAUCAGCCAGGAAGCAUAGGAACUGAGAAGUGGUUGUGGUCACCACCUGUAGAACCACUCCUUUAUUGGGGGUGUCUUGCUAAUUGCCUAUAAUUUCCACCUGUUGUCUAUCCCAUUUGCACAGCAGCAUGUGAAAUUGAAGUGUUGCUCCCUAAGUGGACAGUUUGAUUUCACAGAAGUGUGAUUGACUUGGAGUUACAUUGUGUUGUUUAAGUGUUCCCGUAAAGGAGCGAGAGAUUAUCAUGACAGACCUUUGCCCUAUGCACAGAGCUGAAGUCAGGUUAUUAUGGCAUGUAUGCCAGCAACCUUCAGAAGGCGAAGAGUGUAUUGUGAAAGAAAUGGGAAAAGCUUCAUGAGAGCUCAGUGACAACAGCAGCCAGGGAGACAUUCAGGCAGCUGUAUGGAUUAAUGUGUAUGUCAGUAUCUGUGUAUGUUUAUGGCUUAGUCUGUGUCUGUAUGGGUCAGUGUUUGGUGUGUGUCCACAUGGGUCAGUCUGUGUGCCUGUAUGGGUCAGUGUGUAUAUCAGUGAGUGUGUGUAUACAUAUAUGGGUCAAUGUAUGUGUGUGGGUCAAUAUGUGUGUCAAAGAAUGUUUGUGAGUAUGUGUCAGUGUUUAGGUCAACAUGUGUCUAUAUGGGUCACUGUUGGUGUGUCACUGAGUGUGUAUGUUUGUAAAUAUAUUUAUAUUUAUAUAUAUAUAUAUAUAUAUAUAUAUAUAUAUAUAUAUAUGACAUUCUGUUGAUAUGGAUCAAUGUUGCUGUCAGUAUGUCAGUAAGAGUGUCUUUAUGGUUCAGCCUGUGUGUAUCAAUGUGUAGGUGUGUGUGAGUGAGAGUGUCUUUUUUUGUGUUAGUGUAUGUAUGUAUGUAUGUUUCAGUGGGUGCUAGUAUGUGAGUAUGCUUGUCAAAUAGUGCAUCAAUUCCAUAAAUAGGAGAGAGAGAGAGAGAUUAAUGAAGCAGUCUUGUAUAAUUCAUGACCCUGCAGUCUUACUGCUCAGUUCUCUGUUAUUUAUGUGUUAAAUCACUUUAUUUUUUGUUUUUGCAGUCAUAGCCACACUUCCCUGGAUUGUGACUCACACAGCCUACAUGAAAACAAAAUGAUUUCAUUUUCAAUUACUUUUAAAGUUUUAUCUCCUGCUCUGUAUAGUGAACUAUAAUCACACACAGGAGUCUCCUGCAGGGUUUAGUGAGCUAUUAACAGAGUAGGAGAUAAAUUCAAAAUUAAACAGAAUUUGCAGUCAGGGCCGGCGCAUGUGCUGUGUGUUAGUGUGUUUAUUUUUGUUUCAGUUGGUGCUAGUAUGUGAGUAUGCUUGUCAAAGAGUGCAUCUAGGGGGGUAAGGGGUAGGGAGGGGAGAGGACCUCUAAGGGACAGAGAAAGGAGGGGAGAGGUACACCAAGGAACAGGGGAGGGAGGGGAGAUACACUAAGGAACAGGGAAGUGAGGGGAGAUAAACACCAAGAGACAGGGAGGGGUGGGGAGAGAUAAACUAAGAAACAGAGAAGGGAAGGGGGGGGACUACUAAGGGGUAGGGGAGGGAGAGGACCACUAAGGGACAAGGAAGGGAGGGUAGAGGAAACCACUAAGGGACAGAGAAGGGUGGGAGAGGAAACCACUAAGGGGAGGGGAAGGGAGACCACAAAGGGACAAGGAGAGGAGACCACUAAGGGACAGGGAAGGGGGGGGGAGGAGACCACUAAGGCACAGGGGGAAGAGAGGAGACCACUAAGGGAUAGGGGGAGAUGAGACCAUUAUGAGAUGGGGGUGCUAAUAAGGUCCUGGAGGGGAGGAAAGACCACUAAUGGACAAGGGCGUUGUGGAAGAGAGCACAAAGAAAUGGCGGAAGAGGUGAAAGAGACACAUAAAGGGGCUGGUGGAGGAGAAAGAGGCACAGAGGGACAUGAGGAGGGUGAAAUACACACACAGAGAGGUUGGGGAUGAAAGAGACACACAGAAGGGCCUUGGGGGAAUACAUAGAAUGGUUGCGGGGGAGACACACAGAGGGCCUGGGCAGGAGACAAAUGGGCUCGGGGUGAAAGAGACACACACAGAGGAGCUGGGAAGAGUAAAAGACGCAAGGGGUUUGGGAGAGAAGGAUACACACAAAGGGGCUGCAGUGAGUAAGACAUAUAAAAUGUGUGAGGAUGCAAGAGUCAUACAAAGAGGUGGGAAAAGAGGCACACAAGGGGGUUGUAAGAGAUACUCAAGGGAGGUGUAAGACACACAAUGGGGAAAAAUAGGUAAUAAGAUGCACUAAAGGGGGUAAGACAUUAAGAAGAGGGGAUACGAAACACAAAACAGGGGUUAAGAUUUUUGGGGGGAGUGGGGCAGAAAAAUGCAUCUUUGCCUGUGUACCCAAAAAUCCUUGCACCGGCCCUGGUCACAGUCACAUAUCUGCUUGCAAUAAGAUGUAACGUGUAUAGUUAUUUACAAUACCUGACAAUGUUUUAUCUGUUAGUAGUUAGGAGUGUAUGGUUGACAUGUGACAACCUGACAUAGAAGAAUAUUUAAUUUGAUUGCAUCCACAAAUAAUAACCUUUUAAACACAGAGUUUGUUUUUCAAAGAUUUGUAGAGUUCUUGCAAACAGUAUGAGUUAUUUUCUGUAUAAUAUAAUCUAAAUGUUUGCUUGUACUUUCAAGAGAACAUUUAUGCUUCGCACUACACAUCUGUCUAAAAUAUGUGAAUACGUUCUACACAUAUACACAGACAAAUGUGCUGCUAAAACACAGUGUGAUCCACAAAAAAAAUCCAAGUCUGUUUUUUUUUUUUUACAUGAAUUGUCUUUUUUUUGCAGGGGUAAAUGGGGGUGUUGCGGGAGGUCUCUGUACAGUACAUAUUGCUGAGAUAAUUCUCUGAACAAACUUCUUUUUUAUUGCAGAGAUUGUUUCCCAGUCAUACUGUUAUGUUCAUUCUGUACAUUAAUUUGGCCACAGUACAUGGAAUGCAGAGAGUGCAUGCAAUGAUAAAAUGAAAUAUAGUCUGCUGUUUCUCAGACUCAGCUGAUUUUUCAUGUGCAUGUCCCAGUGUAAUUCUUUGCAGUCCAAGAUUACAAUUAUGGCACAGAAAGUAAUCUGACCAAACACUAACACAGUUUUAUAUGUGUAUGGGAAUUUUAAUUAUUUAUGUAGUGUCCAUCGCACUCACAUUAUUCAGAAUUUAUUUGUAUGUAGCCUCGUGCAGUAAAUGACUCUGUGGCCAUAGCAACUGGGCUGAUAUAUCUUGCAUCUAAUCCAGUAUGUCGUGGCCUGUAAGGAGCCAAUCUGCUGAAAGGAUGUUGACUGACCACUUUUAUUUUUUAUAAGGCAGGUAUCCAAUAAGAAGCUGGAAGAACGCAAGCUAAAUGUUAAAUAAGAAUGCACACCAAGGAGCAUGCUGGGCUCCAAGUGAACUUAAUGCACCCAAAUGCCAUUGAUGACUAAACAAAGUGAUGGUAUAUAUAAUAUGCAACAAAACACUGUGAUUAUUAAACC
Non-coding RNA from Pelobates cultripes (western spadefoot toad), 28578 nucleotides. NCBI's taxonomy places the organism in Eukaryota, Metazoa, Chordata, Amphibia, Anura, Pelobatidae. The record is from the annotation of a GenBank genome assembly.